This 393-nucleotide ribosomal RNA is filed under the name uncultured bacterium. RNAcentral describes it as "partial 16S ribosomal RNA". It matches the Rfam family "Bacterial small subunit ribosomal RNA", at positions 523 to 918 of the family's 1533-position model. The record is from RNAcentral.
AUACGGAAGGUCCGGGCGUUAUCCGGAUUUAUUGGGUUUAAAGGGAGCGCAGGCGGAGAUGCAAGCGUGACGUCAAAUUUCGGGGCUCAACCACGUCUCGCGUCGCGAACUGCGUCCCUUGGUUGCGGGAAGGGGAGGCGGAACUCGAGGUGUAGCGGUGAAAUGCAUAGAUAUCACGAAGAACUCCGAUCGCGAAGGCAGCCUUCCGGCCCGUCAACGACGCUCAUGCUCGAAGGUGCGGGUAUCAAACAGGAUUAGAUACCCUGGUAGUCCGCACAGUAAACGACGGACACCCGCGGUUUGGCCUGUAUGGCUGAGCCGCCAAGCGAAAGCGUUAAGUGUCCCACCUGGGGAGUACGCCGGCAACGGUGAAACUCAAAGGAAUUGACGGGG